RNAcentral lists this small nuclear RNA (313 nucleotides) under Felis catus (domestic cat). RNAcentral describes it as "7SK RNA". It matches the Rfam family "7SK RNA". Rfam says of the family: 7SK was discovered as an abundant small nuclear RNA in the mid-70s but a possible function has only recently been suggested. Two independent studies have found that 7SK RNA binds the CDK9/cyclin T complex (known as elongation factor P-TEFb). The record is from Rfam by way of RNAcentral. Lineage: Eukaryota; Metazoa; Chordata; Mammalia; Carnivora; Felidae.
UGAUGUGAGAACGAUCUGGCUGUGGUAUCUGUCACCCCCAUUGAUUGCCAAGGUUGAUUUGGCUGAUCUGUCUGGCCAGGUGGGUAUCCAUUUUCUCCCUCACCAUUCUACGUGUUCUCUCCUGAAGCUGAACAUAGCUCCAAGAAGACAACUUGUCCUGAUAGAGGACCAUUCUUCAGGUAGCUGAGCUCCCCUGCGAGAUCCUAUAAACAAGCUCUCCAGGUCCAUUUGUAGGAGAAGGUAGACUAAUAAAGCUUCCAAGACUCCAGACACAUCCAAAUGAGGUGCUGCAGGUGGCAGUCUGCCUUUAUUA